RNAcentral lists this ribosomal RNA (459 nucleotides) under uncultured bacterium. RNAcentral's name for it is "partial 16S ribosomal RNA". It matches the Rfam family "Bacterial small subunit ribosomal RNA", at positions 338 to 795 of the family's 1533-position model. The record is from RNAcentral.
CCUACGGGUGGCAGCAGUGAGGAAUAUUGGUCAAUGGGCGGGAGCCUGAACCAGCCAAGUCGCGUGAAGGAAGAAGGUACUUAGGAUUGUAAACUUCUUUUGUCGGGGAACAAAGGCGGAGACGCGUCACCGGUUGAGUGUACCCGAAGAAAAAGCAUCGGCUAACUCCGUGCCAUCAGCCGCGGUAAUACGGGGGAUUCGGGCGUGAUCCGGAUUUAUGGGGGUAAAAGGGUGCGCGGGCGGGAGAUCAAGUCAGCGGUAAAAUGUCGGGGUUAAACCCCGGCCGGCCGUUGAAACUGGUUAUCUAGAGUUCGAGAGAAGCAUGUGGAAUUCGUGGUGUAGCGGUGAAAUGCAUAGAUAUCACGAAGAACCCCGAUUGCGAAGGCAGCUUACUAAACGGCGACUGACAUUGAUGCGCGAAAGCGUGGGUAUCAAACAGGAUUAGAUACCCCAGUAGUC